UAAUGAGGAAACAAAAAAAAAAAACUCUACUCAUGUACCACAAAAUCAAUUGCUUUACCUUAUCUUUUCAUAUAUUACUACUGUGUUUUCAUUUUUUUCAACCCCCACCACUAUAAUAAUUGCCCAACCAACAUAUGUUUUGUUUAUCAUUGCAUCAUUAUUGACAUGUUAAUCGCUUCUCCGUGUAUCUAGAUUCUUGAAUCAUAGUUGAUAUCAGCAAGCAGUAUUAAACUAACGACUUAGGCAAAGAUCAAUCCACCAAAUCACAGAAACGAUAUUGAUUUUAUAAGCUUUAAUCGUUGCCAUCCAUAACAAGUUAAUGACAUUUACAGUGCCAAUCAAGGCUUGCGUGUCUAUGGUCUAUAAGUAUAAUUGCCCGAUUAGAUCAAACUGUUCGAAAUCUUGAUUUCGUUCAACAAAUUCUUCCAUUUCAAAGGCAUGAACGAAAUCAUCCCCAACAAUUUUUUUUUAAAAGAAAAAAUACAUAUCAGUUUUAGCAAACAACCUUGCAAACAAAAAUACUAGCAUAUCUCAAAUAAUCCGAAGAAAAAAAAAUCAAAGAUGAAGAAUGAUGAGAUUUAUGACCACAGAUAGAUGUACGAAUACAAGUGAAUUUACAUAAAAGUGAGAGAGAGAGAGAGAGA
RNAcentral lists this unclassified non-coding RNA (644 nucleotides) under Hevea brasiliensis (rubber tree). Lineage: Eukaryota; Viridiplantae; Streptophyta; Magnoliopsida; Malpighiales; Euphorbiaceae. The record is from RNAcentral.